UACGUAGGUGACGAGCGUUAUCCGGAUUUACUGGGCGUAAAGCGCUUGUAGGUGGUCUUGUAAGUUGGGCGUGAAAACACCGGGCUUAACUCGGUGACGCCGUCCAAUACUGCGAGGCUGGAGGAUGUCAGAGGAAGGUGGAAUUCCUGGUGUAGUGGUGAAAUGCGCAGAUAUCAGGAGGAACACCGGUGGCGAAGGCGGGUCUCUGGGCCAUAACUGACGCUGAGGAGCGAAAGCGUGGGGAGCAAACAGG
Molecule: ribosomal RNA, 253 nt
Filed under: uncultured bacterium
Lineage: Bacteria
Description: partial 16S ribosomal RNA
Rfam family: Bacterial small subunit ribosomal RNA
Source: RNAcentral